This 253-nucleotide ribosomal RNA is filed under the name uncultured bacterium. Its description in RNAcentral is "partial 16S ribosomal RNA". It matches the Rfam family "Bacterial small subunit ribosomal RNA", at positions 524 to 776 of the family's 1533-position model. The record is from RNAcentral.
UACAGAGGGUGCGAGCGUUAAUCGGAUUUAUUGGGCGUAAAGCGUGCGUAGGCGGCUAAUUAAGUCGGAUGUGAAAUCCCUGAGCUUAACUUAAGAAGUGCAUUCGAUACUGGUCAGCUAGAGUAUGGGAGAGGAUGAUAGAAUUCCAGGUGUAGCGGUGAAAUGCGUAGAGAUCUGGAGGAAUACCGAUGGCGAAGGCAGCCAUCUGGCCUAAUACUGACGCUGAGGUACGAAAGCAUGGGGAGCGAACAGG